GGGCAUAGCCGCAUAGGUGAUAGGUUCAUGGAGCGUGGUUGAGAGACUCUUAUGGAGCGUGGAGAUUGAGUUCACAAAGGAAACCUCAAAGCCCCUAGUCCCCACCAAAAUGUUUCUUACCAAACCAAAGAAAGUAACAAAGUCCCUCAUCUUUCUUUCAUCGCAUCCCUUCAGAAGUUCCUCUUCCUCUCUCCUUCUCCUCUCUUUCUCUCUCUCCCUCCCUGGAACUUUCUGUAAAUAAAGUCUCCUGUGAGACUGGAUAGACCACGGCCAUCGUUGGCCUGCUAGCCUUCUGCAAUUUUAGCUCAAGAUAGCGACCUUACGGUUCCUAAUACUGGUCAAUACGUUGCGUACUGCGAGGGAGGGAGAUCUAGUUUCGUUUUAGCAGAAUGGAGGAUGAGAAAGAGGCUUUGGUGCAGAGUUUGAUUGAUAAGGUGAACCAGAUUGGUUCGAUCUCUGAUUAUAAGUGUACGGUGAAGAAGCAGUAUUGCAAUUUAGCUAGGAGAUUGAAGCUGUUGACGCCAUUGUUCGAGGAGAUUAGAGAGAGUAAGGAGCCGAUUCCUGAAGAGACUGCGAAAGCUUUAGAUUUGUUAAAACAAGCUCUGGAUUCGGCUAAUGAGUUGCUCAGAUUUGGCAGCGAAGGCAGUAAGAUUUACCUGGUCUUGGAGAGGGAGCAAAUUAUGAAUAAGUAUCAUGAGGUGACAACUAAGUUCGAACAAGCUCUAAGUGGAAUUUCCUAUGAAAACCUGGACAUAUCAGAUGAAGUUAAGGAACAGGUUGAGCUUGUCCAUGCUCAGUUCAGAAGAGCAAAAGGGAGGGUCGAUCCUCCUGAUGUUGAGCUGUUGGAAGAUCUCUUAUCCCUUUACAACAAGAGCAAAGAUGCAGCAGUAGAUCCAGCUGUCCUAAGAAGAUCAUCUGAGAAGUUGCAAUUGAAAGGGAUAGCUGACCUCACACAAGAGUCAUUAGCCUUGCAUGAAAUGGUUGCCGCCACUGGUGGUGAUCCUGGUGAGAACAUUGAAAAAAUGUCGAUGCUAUUAAAGAAAAUUAAAGACUUUGUGCAAACAGAAAACCCCAACAUGGAUGCUUCUGCAAUAGAAAAAAAUCAUCAUCCAGGUGGCAGUGGACAAGCUUCCAUCAAUGGGAAUCAGAGGGCCACAGUUAUACCAGAUGACUUCCGCUGCCCAAUAUCCCUGGAAAUGAUGAAAGAUCCUGUUAUUGUUUCAACAGGGCAGGUAUAUUCAUGCUGGAUUCCUGUCCUAUAAUAGAAAGACAAUGGUCAUUUUCCAAUCUGCUAGUUGAUUACAUCAUAACCACAGAAUGUUCUGAAGAUGGUUCUUGUCAUCAGAGAACUAUUUUUUAGAUUCUUUAGAGAUGAGAGUAAACACCUAAUGGGUUGACUUUUAAUUUUAUUGGCAUCUUGCUAGAACUCUUCCCUGCAGAUGUGCCUUGUCUAAGCAGUCUUGGGACUUGGUAUGUCUUUCUCCCUCUGUCUAUUUAACAAGUUUCAUUUGUCCUUUUCGUAGACCUAUGAGCGUUCCUGCAUUGGGAAGUGGCUGGAAGCAGGACAUUGCACAUGUCCAAAGACGCAACAGUCCCUCAACAGUACUGUCAUCACACCCAAUUAUGUACUGCGCAGCCUCAUAGCCCAGUGGUGUGAAGCAAAUGGUGUUGAACCCCCAAAACUACCUAGCAGCAACAAAAUCACAUCUGCCUGCUCAUCUGCUGAGUUUGCAAAGAUUGAAAUUCUUCUUCGCAGACUCAGAUCUGAUAGCCCUGAAGACCAGCGAUGUGCUGCAGGUGAGAUCCGCCUUCUUGCCAAGCGGAAUGCAGAUAAUCGUGUGGCUAUUGCUGAAGCUGGCGCAAUCCCUCUCCUUGUGGGCCUCCUCUCAACACCCGACACUCGCACCCAAGAGCAUGCUGUCACUGCACUUCUUAACCUUUCCAUAUGUGAAGAUAACAAAGGAAACAUCAUGUCAUCUGGGGCAGUUCCUGGUAUAGUGCGUGUGCUCAAGAAGGGCAGCAUGGAAGCUCGGGAAAAUGCAGCAGCUACCCUUUUCAGUCUUUCAGUUGUGGAUGAAAAUAAAGUUAUAAUAGGUUCUUCAGGGGCCAUCCCACCACUUGCGACACUUCUAAGUGAGGGUACACAAAGGGGGAAAAAAGAUGCUGCAACUGCACUUUUCAACUUGUGCAUCUAUCAGGGGAACAAGGGAAAGGCAGUGAGGGCUGGAGUUGUGCCCACACUAAUGCGUCUGCUGACAGAACCUGGAGGUGGAAUGGUGGAUGAAGCGCUUGCCAUUUUAGCGAUUCUAGCUAGCCACCUUGAAGGGAAGGCAGCCAUUGGAUCUGCAGAGGCAGUGCCAGUUUUGGUGGAAGUUAUCAGAAAUGGAUCCCCAAGGAACAGAGAGAAUGCAGCUGCAGUUUUGGUGCACCUUUGUGCUGGAGACCAUAAACAUUUGGCAGAAGCACAAGAGCUUGGAGUAAUGGGGCCUCUAGUCGAUUUGGCUCAAAAUGGCACAGACCGGGGAAAGAGGAAGGCUCAACAAUUGAUUGAGCGUAUGAGCUGGUUUGUUGAGCAGCAAAAUCAGGAUCAGGCACAAACUGAAGCUCAGACGCAACUACCCCAGCCAUCCUUCAUGUCAAAUUCUGCUGAUAGCUGACAUAUUUUGUUCACCAUUUUCAAGAUUUUUUUUUUUUUUUUGGAGAUGCAACCUUGGUUUAGAAGUGAAGGUGGAAGAUCACCUGCCCAGCUUGUAAGUUAUUCAUUUGUUAAUGUUGGACGAGGACUGCACUUAAAAGAGAUUAUCCAGAGAUCGAUCUAAGGGGAAAAAAAGAGAAAAGGAAACAGAAAUACCAUGCGACAAUGUAUGUGAAUUGUACCAUUUUAACGUGUAAUCAUCCUCAGUUUUUGCUGAAGAGAUGUGUCCCGCAUUCAAAGUGAAACCAUGUAAUUGAUCAAUGAUGGAAAUGGAGAAAUCAGAAGAACAUGAAACCAUCUGUUGUCUCUGAAUUGUUUAAAGAGCAUAUAUUAAUAUAAUUAUUUAUCUGCUUAUUGAGG
RNAcentral lists this unclassified non-coding RNA (3055 nucleotides) under Hevea brasiliensis (rubber tree). The record is from RNAcentral. Lineage: Eukaryota; Viridiplantae; Streptophyta; Magnoliopsida; Malpighiales; Euphorbiaceae.